Molecule: ribosomal RNA, 412 nt
Filed under: uncultured eukaryote
Lineage: Eukaryota
Description: bacterial SSU rRNA
Rfam family: Eukaryotic small subunit ribosomal RNA
Source: RNAcentral
CAAUAGCGUAUAUUAAAGUUGUUGCAGUUAAAAAGCUCGUAGUUGGAUUUCUGGCAGUGUGACUCCGGCCGGCGUGAUGCCGGCUCGAGCGCGCUACCAUCCUUCUGUCAACCUUCGCGGGUUUUACCGCCCGCCCUGGGGCUCAGAUAUUUUACCUUGAGAAAAUUAGAGUGUUUCAGGCAGGCUUAGCCGGAAUACAUUAGCAUGGAAUAAUGGAAUAGGACUGAGGUCUCGUUGUUGGUUACGCGGACUACAGUAAUGAUUAAUAGGGACAGUUGGGGGCAUUAGUAUUUAAUAGCUAGAGGUGGAAUUCUCUAAUUUGUUAAAGACUAACUUAUGCGAAAGCAUUUGCCAAGGAUGUUUUCAUUAAUCAAGAACGAAAGUUAGGGGAUCGAAGAUGAUCAGAUACCAU